This is a long non-coding RNA of Physella acuta, 348 nucleotides long. RefSeq lists it as uncharacterized. Lineage: Eukaryota; Metazoa; Mollusca; Gastropoda; Physidae. The record is from RefSeq and is a predicted model, not a curated record.
AAAACAUAAUAGUUUGAAAUGGAAAACGAUAUGGUUUGAUCUGGAAAACAAUAUGGUUUGAUCUAAAAAAAAAAAUGGAAUUCUAAAAAUGCUGACAUUUUCAACACAAUACAUUAAAGCCGAUAAAGUUUGCUCCUUGUCUAAGACUAGGCAGAGAAAACGUGUUUCUUUCAGAUUUGUUUCUCCUGGGGGACAGACUAAAUUUUCCGGAGGGGUGGACACUGGCACAUUAGAGCAAAAGGACUACGACAUUUGCCGAGUCGGUAUGCUGAUGCUUCGUAGUGCAGCUAUUAACCUAUAUGGUGGUGCAUUUAUUUAUUUGUUUACUUCUUAAAGACCAAGUUUGUA